AGCGAACGCUGGCGGCAGGCUUAACACAUGCAAGUCGAGCGGGCCUUUCGGGGUCAGCGGCGGACGGGUGAGUAACGCGUGGGAACGUGCCCUCUGGUUCGGAAUAACUCAGGGAAACUUGAGCUAAUACCGGAUACGCCCUUUUGGGGAAAGGCUUGCUGCCGGGGGAUCGGCCCGCGUCUGAUUAGCUAGUUGGUGAGGUAACGGCUCACCAAGGCGACGAUCAGUAGCUGGUCUGAGAGGAUGAUCAGCCACACUGGGACUGAGACACGGCCCAGACUCCUACGGGAGGCAGCAGUGGGGAAUAUUGGACAAUGGGCGCAAGCCUGAUCCAGCCAUGCCGCGUGAGUGAUGAAGGCCUUAGGGUUGUAAAGCUCUUUUAUCCGGGACGAUAAUGACGGUACCGGAGGAAUAAGCCCCGGCUAACUUCGUG
This 433-nucleotide ribosomal RNA is filed under the name uncultured bacterium. RNAcentral's name for it is "partial 16S ribosomal RNA". It matches the Rfam family "Bacterial small subunit ribosomal RNA", at positions 29 to 507 of the family's 1533-position model. The record is from RNAcentral.